CGAACGGUAACAGGUCUUCGGAUGCUGACGAGUGGCGAACGGGUGAGUAAUACAUCGGAACGUGCCCGAUCGUGGGGGAUAACGGAGCGAAAGCUUUGCUAAUACCGCAUACGAUCUACGGAUGAAAGCAGGGGACCGCAAGGCCUUGCGCGGACGGAGCGGCCGAUGGCAGAUUAGGUAGUUGGUGGGAUAAAAGCUUACCAAGCCGACGAUCUGUAGCUGGUCUGAGAGGACGACCAGCCACACUGGGACUGAGACACGGCCCAGACUCCUACGGGAGGCAGCAGUGGGGAAUUUUGGACAAUGGGCGAAAGCCUGAUCCAGCCAUGCCGCGUGCAGGAUGAAGGCCUUCGGGUUGUAAACUGCUUUUGUACGGAACGAAAAGACUCCUUCUAAUAAAGGGGGUCCAUGACGGUACCGUAAGAAUAAGCACCGGCUAACUACGUGCCAGCAGCCGCGGUAAUACGUAGGGUGCAAGCGUUAAUCGGAAUUACUGGGCGUAAAGCGUGCGCAGGCGGUUAUAUAAGACAGAUGUGAAAUCCCCGGGCUCAACCUGGGAACUGCAUUUGUGACUGUAUAGCUAGAGUACGGUAGAGGGGGAUGGAAUUCCGCGUGUAGCAGUGAAAUGCGUAGAUAUGCGGAGGAACACCGAUGG
RNAcentral lists this ribosomal RNA (655 nucleotides) under Ralstonia sp. enrichment culture. RNAcentral describes it as "bacterial SSU rRNA". It matches the Rfam family "Bacterial small subunit ribosomal RNA", at positions 63 to 715 of the family's 1533-position model. The record is from RNAcentral. Lineage: Bacteria; Pseudomonadati; Pseudomonadota; Betaproteobacteria; Burkholderiales; Burkholderiaceae.